UCCGAUGUGGUGUAGUGGUCAACAUUUCUCGUUUUCAAGCGUCUCAAAGACCUUAAACACCGAGGAGCCCGGGGUUCGAUUCCCCGCAUCGGAG
This is a non-coding RNA of Hypoxylon sp. CI-4A, 94 nucleotides long. Lineage: Eukaryota; Fungi; Ascomycota; Sordariomycetes; Xylariales; Hypoxylaceae. The record is from the annotation of a GenBank genome assembly.